GGGAACUGGAUUUUUCAUCAGAUGAAAACAACGAAACAGCACCCCCCACCGCUCCCAAUAUUCUGAAUUUAGAUCAUCUAUUUAAGCAUCAAGGCCUGCCAUGCAAUCACUUUAGAUUGAAGAAGCUGCUUUAAUGAAGAGUGGAGCAGUACUCUUUCUCCGAGGUUUGAAGCUGUUCUGAAGCGUUUUUGGAAGUAGCAUCUAGAGCUCUGCUAAUCAAGUGAAUUGAACAGAGCUCUUCAGCGUUUGUCUCUCAUGAAACCGAGCAUACAGCUUGAUCUUUGCAUUAUCUAAAAAGACCUAAGUGCAAAACUGUAUUAUCUUAUGGCCAGUUUGCUUAGUUGUGAUAAUGAACUUUUCAGCAGCUGAAGCUUGUCCC
Long non-coding RNA from Ahaetulla prasina, 379 nucleotides. RefSeq lists it as uncharacterized. The transcript is spliced from 3 exons. The record is from RefSeq and is a predicted model, not a curated record. NCBI's taxonomy places the organism in Eukaryota, Metazoa, Chordata, Lepidosauria, Squamata, Colubridae.